RNAcentral lists this long non-coding RNA (1091 nucleotides) under Canis lupus familiaris (dog). Its description in RNAcentral is "lncRNA (ENSCAFG00000056406.1)". Lineage: Eukaryota; Metazoa; Chordata; Mammalia; Carnivora; Canidae. The record is from RNAcentral.
AUAGUACAUUACCUAUUCCUACUUACCCCAUUGCCAUCACAGGUUCCUACCAUUUUUGCUUUUUUAAAAAAAUGUUUUUUUUUUCAGUUUUAUUGAGAUAUAUUUGGCAUACCCAAGCCUUUUUUUUUUUUUUUUUUUUUUUUUUUUUUUAAGUAAACUCUACAUCCAUUGUGGGGCUCGACCCAGGAUCCUGAGACUAAGAGUCACACGCUCCAUCAACUGAGCCAGGCCAGUGCCCUCAUUUUUGCUUCUUAAUCAUGGAGGAUUAGCUGAAAGAGUCAGAUGUGGAAGAAAGGAAUGAGGGGGGAGGUAUCUAGCUAUGAAUGGGUUAAAGUUUGUAUUCUCUCUAAUAUUGCCCUCAGGUAAACCUGACUAGUCCACUAGUUAAUCAAGCAAGAAAAUAUCUUCAAUAUCUUGAGCUAUUAAUAUUUGUGCUAUUCUUUUUCCCACUCCCUUUGCUCCUCCCUUAGGAAGAGGAUCCACAUUGUUUCAAGAAUAUGAGAGGUAUGGUAAGAAUGUAAAGGCCAAGGAACAAUCAAUAUGCCCCUUUUGAGGACUCAGCAGGGAAAAGCCAUGUCUUCACUGGCAAAAUCGCAGUACAAGACGACCCAUUCAGAUCCGCCCUCGACGUACAGCACAGCCUACUUACCAGCCUCAAAGGAACGCCAGGCAGUUAGUGAAAUGCAGAGCAUCAAGGGGCCUUCCAAGGAAGCCCAGUGAGACUUUUCAAUGAGCACAUGUGGUUGGAAAUCGGAUGUUGGGUUUAGAUCUUAUCCAGAAUAAGAAUCUCCAUGCUGGUGUGGAGCUGAUCUCACGACCCUGAGAUCAUGACUGGAGCCGAAAACAAGAGUGAGACACCCAUUCGACUGUGCCACCCAGGCACCCCUAAAGGUAACUAUUUUAUUUUUUCAAAAAAUAUUUUAUUUAUUUAUUCAUGAGAGACACAGAGAGAGAGGCAGAGACACAGGCAGAGGGAGGAGAAGCAGACUCCAUGCAGGAGCCUGAUGCGGAACUCGAUCCCAGAACUCCAGGAGGUCCUGAGCUAAAGGCAGACGCUCAACCACUGAGCCACCCAGGCAUCCCUAAAGGUA